This 637-nucleotide long non-coding RNA is filed under the name Mytilus galloprovincialis (Mediterranean mussel). The record is from RNAcentral. Lineage: Eukaryota; Metazoa; Mollusca; Bivalvia; Mytilida; Mytilidae.
UGGCAUGUGCAUGAUGGCUACCGUUACCAUGGAAACUUAAAAAAUGUAAAAUAAAAUCAAAAUUCCAAAUCUUUCAUUGUAAGACCCAACUGGAUGAAACUUUAUGGAAAUGUUCCUUGGUAUGCCCUGAUGUACCGACUAUAUUUAGAAAUUCCAAAAUGGCCAUCAUUGUCAUGGAAACAGGGCGAGAGUUUAACAUUGGCCCUAUGGGAAAAAACAUUAAACCUGUUUUUUCUUAAAGAAUAUGUUAUUAAACCCAUAGAAACUUUAUGGGGAGGUAACAUGUAAUGAGUCAAAGAGGAAUCUGUCUUUGGAAUUUUCAAAAUGAUUACCGUUACCAUGGAAACUACAAAAAAAUGAAAUUGCACCAAACUUAAUGAAACUUUACAGAAAUGUUCACUGGCAUGUUCAGAGUUGAAAUAUAAUUUUGGAAUUUUCAAAAUGGCCGCCGUUACCAUGGAAACAGCAAAAAUCCAAAAUUUUCAAAAUACUCUAAAUUGUCUAAAUCUUUACUGUAAUGACAACUGGCAUGUCUUAAUGUGAUUUUCGACUUUGAAAUGCUCAAAAUGGCUGCCGUUCACCUGCCAAUGGGGGAAGGGUGCCAUCCGCUAUUGCUUGCAAUGGCAAAUCUAGUUAU